ACGCUCGACACCUACGAGAGGCAGCAGUGGGGAAUAUUGCACAAUGGGGGGAACCCUGAUGCAGCGACGCCGCGUGAGUGAAGAAGUACUUCGGUAUGUAAAGCUCUAUCAGCAGGGAAGAAAAUGACGGUACCUGACUAAGAAGCCCCGGCUAACUACGUGCAGCAGCCGCGGUAAUCUGAGCGGGCUGGCAAGGC
This 197-nucleotide ribosomal RNA is filed under the name uncultured bacterium. RNAcentral's name for it is "partial 16S ribosomal RNA". It matches the Rfam family "Bacterial small subunit ribosomal RNA", at positions 328 to 539 of the family's 1533-position model. The record is from RNAcentral.